CCCCGCCCCAGACCACUCCCCAAUUCCCACUCCUAGCCCCGCGCCCGCCCUCCGACCCCGCCCCGGGGUCCACCCAUCCCUGUCCCCUGACCUCAGGUCCCGCCCCCCCGGCGCUAGUGGCCGGGCCAUAGGCGCGAGUCUCAGUCUGCGCCUCCGCUUUGAGCCCAGUUGAGCGCUCCCGGCGGUUUCCAGGGCACCUCCCCACCCCUCCUCUGAUCGCCAAGGCCUGGCCCGUGCGUGUGCUCACACCCCGGGGCGCAGUGCUAGGCUUUACAAAGAAGGCCUGGACCCCCUCCGCGGCUCAACCUCCCAAAUCUGGGGGCCUUCUUGAGCGUUAGGCCCGGCCAGGGAAGCAGGGGCAGCCGCAGGACGGGAGGGGCGAGGCUUCCAGCAGAGGCUGCGGGGUCGAGGCCUGGGCGGCAGAGAUGGGGAGAUAAAGUCAGAUAUCGCUAGAAGUUCUUUGAAAUCAUGAAGAAGUUUCUUCUUAUACAAGAGCAAAGCAAGAAGAAAUGGGAAGUUUGGGACGGGGCUAGAGCUGCAAGAGGAGGCUGAGAAGCAAGAGAAUCUGUGACAGUACCAGGGCUCCAGAGCCUCCCAAGUCACCCCCAGCCUAAAAGUCUUCAGCGAGACAGGGGCGUUGGGAUCCAGAGCGCAGCUGUCAGGUGAGUUCUCGGCUUCACCUCGGAGUUCUCCCGCUCCGCGCCAGGGGAGGCGGCUUAGGAGCAAGUCGGGGGUGGAGAGGCGCCCAGGUAGGCCCGGCCCCUCCCCGCCCUGCCUGUCUUCCCACCUCCGACCCGACUGCUCUCCCAAAC
Molecule: long non-coding RNA, 812 nt
Filed under: Heterocephalus glaber (naked mole-rat)
Lineage: Eukaryota; Metazoa; Chordata; Mammalia; Rodentia; Bathyergidae
Description: lncRNA (ENSHGLG00100046162.1)
Source: RNAcentral